GGAAAUAAAAUGAUCUCUAUCAUAAUACAUACAUGCACAAGUUAUAACUUUAGUUGUGUUAAAAAGAAUAUGAUUUUUUUUUCUUUCUUUCUUUUUUUUCAUUUUUCUUGAGUGCAACCUAUUUUAGAGCACUCUCUGUGGAAGAAAAAUUAGUGAAAUCAUUUUGAGAUGUACUUAGACAAAUAUAUACUCUAUCUGCUAUGAAUUGCGUAGGUACUUAGGUGCAUAAAUUCGUUUUUAGCGUCUAAUUUCAUCCAUUUAGUUAAAGGUUAUUAAAGGCUAAUUAAAAGUUUGUUAAAGGUUGUUAAGUAUACUCAUGCAAAAGUAUGAAGUUUUCAAUCCAACAUAAUUUAGAUCCUAGGUCAUCCUCCAAGUUUCUGAGAAUCCAAAGAAGAAGACAACAUAUUCCUUCAACUGAAAAUAAGUUUUUUCCAUAAGUAUCAAUUACCUACUUACUCAGUUAUUAUUAAUUUUUGUUUUCUGUUUGACAGAGAUAAUUCUGCAUGUGCCACAUAUUACUUCGAAUCAGAGGAAGCCAAAAAUAAUGACACAUGCACUUGGAUUCGUCAUAAAAAGCUGGAAGUUGGCCCUAAACAUUACGCUGAAAGGAGAACUCAAAUAGCAAUCCGAUCUAAAGAAUGUUCCCAAGCCUUAGAUUUACUCCACUCACUUAACUCAGACUCAGUGACCAAUAUCUUAGACUCAUCUACUUUUCUAAACGACUUUAAAGUAAGUUCAUAUAUUUUGUUUCAAAUCAAUUAUUAUUUUUCAUCUCUUUCCCUUGCUUGUUCGACUUCUUGGAAAAGAACAAGAUGAACAUCAGGCACCCUCAAUGCUACAUUGAGGAAACGCCAAAAUAUUUAUUUCUUUUUAUGUAUUACAUAAACUGAAUCUUUUCAAUAAUGUGAUGCUGAGACUAAGAAAUUUAGUGCUUUAUCUCAAAUGAGUUGCAAUGAUUGCCAUCAAGUUCUCAACCAAAUAAUUCAUUUACGAAAGACUCCUAAUGCCAGUAACUAAGGGGCACACUGGAAGUCAGGGUGGUAAAAGGUUAAAAAGAUUCAAGAUUUUUUUGUUCUCAAGCUUUUUUGUACAUGAAUAUUUCAAUUGCAACUGGAAAUUUUGCACUAACGAUCGACCAUGUAAAAAUCAGUGAAAGCUAUUAAUUUUAUAAAAAAUUUACAAGAAAAAACUGACUCUCCUACUAAAGUAGGUUAUUUUACAGAGCGUGCUUCAGUAGGCAAGGCAGCAACCAAGACGUAUUCCGAGAAAUACCUACUCUAGUAAAGGAGUGUGAGUGUUUUCAUUUAAGCAUUUUUUGAAACUAGAAAGCAUUCCAGAAUAUAAAAAUAUCGAAAGAAUGGAAUCUUCGACACCUGUGCAGCAAUGUGGUCACAUUAAGAUGUUAGGUGCGCAAAACUUGGUGAGGAAGGUCAGUUUAACUGGAAGUUUAUAAAGGAACGGAAGAAAAAAUUAAGCAUCAUGUUUCCUAAUCAAAAUUUCACGUGUAAUGAAGUGGCUAAAUCAAGAAAAUGAUCUAUCUUUUGUAAGUGAAAUGUUCUUUUACCAUUUUUUAUUGAGACUCUGUGACCCAUGUCGGAGCGAAGGUGACUAAUCCAAAUCACUCUCCUUUAUCACCUGCUCCGUGGCAUUAAUGUCAAAGUUGAUUGCAUUUCAAGUCAAUGCCCUUUGUGUGCGUGUGUUUUUUUUUCUCAAUUAUCUCGGUAGGACAGAAAUAAACUCUGUGUCAAUCACAAAUGAAUGAAUAAUUCAACAUGAGGUCAUGUCUUGGUUGAUCUCUUGAUGCAGCAUCUAUCACCAUGUUGUCAGAUCAGUUCGUAAAAUCCUCCUAUUUUAAAUUACCUGUCAUGCAACCACAUUUGAAAACUAGGUUUACUUCCUGAUGGUGAAAUUAGAAAAAAUUUGCACUCAAAUGUGCUGAGUCGCUGGGAACAUGAUCUAAAACUUGAGGUAUUGAGGUUUGAGUGUACCUAAUUGACAAUGCUGAAUUUCAUCUCAUGUUGUUUUUUUUCUUCUUCUCCUCACUAAAAAGUAAACAACAUUCUGUCUGACAGUUUUGUGACAAUGAAUUCUUUAUAAUUUAGGAAAAAUUAAUUGAAAGUUUCAAGGCAAGUUUUAAGUUCACUCAGUUUUUGGUUUUAAAAAAUGGAACAUGAGUGAAACUAGACUUCUUUAAAAGCAGUCAGGCUGAUUCUUAGGGAAGAUCUACCAAAUCCGCUGUCAUCGCUAAUGUGAUUUUUUUUUUUUUUUGGCACAGGGGAGACUGGAUUUAUCUUCGCCAACAAUUUCAGGUCACUCAUUUGGUGGAGCAACUUGUUUGCAGACUCUCUAUAAUGAUGAACGAUUUCAGUAAGUCUUUUAUCCCAAAUUAGACAUGAUCAUUGUUCCAGCUUCAGGAAUAGGCCAAAGUCACUAAAUUAUUAUUAGAAUUUGAUUAGGCUUUGACCAUAACGAUAAUUGCAUCAGACUAAGUUAUUUUAAUGAGGCCAUGUGUAGGAGCAUACUCUUUUCAAAAUAUUUAAUUCACCCUUUGUACUAUUUAGCAGUUGCUCCUGAAGUAGUCACAAAUACGAUUUGUGAUCAUUUAUGGAGGAAAAGGUAUUCCCCAGGUAGAAUUUUCGCCAUUAGCACACUAGGCAAUGUAGUACAUAGUGAUUUUAUUUCCUAGAUAAUGUAGAUUCACUUUAAACAGGUCAAGUGCAAAGAACAUGCCUGAGUUAUGAACUUUUAGAAUUUUCUCGUCACUGCCUCUUUCGCUAUGAUUCAUUGAGAUUUCUAUAAUUUUUGUUGCAUGUUUUUAUUCUGAAGGGGUCAGAAAAAGAAAAAU
RNAcentral lists this long non-coding RNA (2845 nucleotides) under Bemisia tabaci. RNAcentral describes it as "lncRNA ENSSSA1NGG003801". Lineage: Eukaryota; Metazoa; Arthropoda; Insecta; Hemiptera; Aleyrodidae. The record is from RNAcentral.